Molecule: long non-coding RNA, 2691 nt
Organism: Homo sapiens (human)
Lineage: Eukaryota; Metazoa; Chordata; Mammalia; Primates; Hominidae
Gene: FAM27C
Product: family with sequence similarity 27 member C
Source: Ensembl
AGUGCUUGGGUGUCGAGGCUCUGAGGCUCCGGCCUCACCUCUCCACGGGGUCGAAGGGAACGUCUCCGGAUGCCAGGAGUCGCAAAGGGCCGACCAUGAUGAUGAAACCCCAGGCAGAGACGGGGGAAGCAGCACGGGAUCCCAGCCUCAGGCCUGCACGGACGGUGUUGGUUGGGAGACGAGGUCUCACUAUAUUGACCAGGCUGGUCUUGAACUCCUGGCCUUAAGCGAUCCUCCUGCCUUGGCCUCCCAAAGUGCUGGAGUUACAGAUGUGAGCCUCUGUGCUCAGUCCAUCCUUGGCUGUUCAAGUGUAGAGCCAAGAAUGUUAAGGAACGUGGACACAAAGGAUGAGGUUGGAACAGAAGUUUAAUAUGCAAAAGAAGAAAGCUCUCCCCAGCGGAGGGGGGACCCGAAAGAGGGUUGCCAACUAGGAGGCUGAAUCUGGGGGUUUUGUGAACUGGGAAGGGGAAGAAUGUGCUCACUAGUCUGUGAGCUGUCUUGGAGAAAGCACAACUUCGCUUGGCCCGGGACCUUAGCUUGGGACCAACCAGAGGCUGAAGUGAAAUUUUGGCCCAAGAACAAUCAGGGGCUGAAGUGAAAGUUUGGCCCAGGACCAAUCAGGGGCUGAAGUGAUGAUUCAUAGAGGCUUGGCUCACAGUCCAAAGCAUGUCCAGAAAAGGAAAGUGGUCACCAGAGCCUGUUAGUCCAAGCUGCACCGAUUUGUAAGCCCCCACCGUUUCACAGACCCUGGUCAGAGGGAAACAUUCCACUGGGGUUUGGGCUGCGAGAAACAUCCUCCCCAACCGCCUGACUUCCUUAUCACAUCCUGCUGGGGAAAGGCCCAAGAAACAUCCUUAUCAACAUUCUCCCAGGCAACAAGCUAUACUGCCCAGAUCCCUCCUGCCCAGGCCUAUAAUUACUCCAGCCUGUAAGCGGCAGUGGGCUCUGGCAUUUAGUUGGUCCCCUCCAUAGAGCCGCCAACUCUCUCUCUUUCUUUAACCUUCACCUUCCCUUCAAAAUCUAACAGAGCCCACCAUAUACAUGCCCACAAAAAAGCGACUAUUUCCUGGAAGCCCGCUGGUCACACAAAGGACAAAGGCAUUUCUAUGUUGGGCCUCGGUCCCUUAUCAAUGCAGCUGAGGAAUGUCUUUAGGACAACCCCCUUUGCUAGUUUUCCUUCUCUGUGCCUGCAGCCUGAUUUUUCAGGCUGUUUCUCUGUUGAAAGGAGUUUUACCAAGGACCCGCUCUAACUCCCUAAAGGGUUUUUUCUCUCAAGGGGACACACAAAUUUCCAAUCGCACACAUGCCUCCCUAUAUCCACUUACCCUCUGCCUCACAGCCAAUCACACUCUCCUCUCUCACACAGACCACGGGGCCACACAAGUUGCACCUGCACAGCCACAGACCUGCAACUCAUGCACACACAGUACUGCACACACACGCAAAGUCACACACCCACCCUGGGACACGCAGCCCCCACUACACAGUCACCGGUUGUCCACAUCCGCACACACAACGCGGCUCGUCCAGGACACACACAUCCACUCCGAGCGCGCACAGUCACAAGCGCCCACCUGAUCACCCAGAGUCAGCACCACACAGCCACAGUCACAGACCACGAAGACCCACGGCAACCAUCGCAAUCACACACGCAAACUCCUCUCCUCAGCCCUCCACACACAAAAGGACCAGAGCCGGAUUCCUCAUCCUCAGCUUUCUCUAGUUCCGCUCGGGGCCGGCCUGGCCAAGUUACUCCGGACUCCAAGGCGUGGCAGCAGCUAAUUGGGCACAGCGAAAGAUUCUGCCACCUGGCUAAGAGGAAGCCAAAAUCUCGCGAGACAUGGGACACGGCUUCCCCUGAACGCGGAUCCUAGAGGCCAGGCAGAAGCAGCAUGGGUUUCCACUCACACGGUAGGCGGCUGUGCAAUUUCGUCUGGAGUCCCCAGACCCCUCCUCAUCCUUCCCAGGGUUGCUCUGAGGCCAUUCCUUGUCAUCUAGGAGGGGUCUACAUAAAAGCAUUUAUAAACACCUCCAAAUGGGAGCCAGGCGUGCCCACCUUUGGAGCACUUUUCUCUACUGCAAAUUUAUCUACUGCUCGUGAAAUCUCUGGAUUUAACUCUGAUGAAAGACUGGAGGCUGAAGGAGAACUUCAAUAUCAUAUAUUUUAAAGGUUGAUUCACAGUUUGGAGCAAGAAUUAAAGAACCACGAACUUCAAGGUAAAACGGGCAACGGCGUUGGGGCAAGCCUCUCUGCAUCUGCGUGUCCAGCCUCUCCUGCGUGCCAGAAGUUCCCAGGCAGGAGUGUGGUGGGACAUCCGGCUGGGGUAAGGACAGGCACCCUCCCACUGUGUCAGGGCCCAGAGAGUGGGUGGAGAAGCUCUGCAAGAGACCUGUGCAAGGGCGCCUUGCAGGAGCCUGCAGUCCCCACAGGUGUGUUUGUGGAUAACACUUGGGGAGCCCUGGCCUUUUGGGGUCACGGAGGGCUUGGCCUCUCACCUCAGAGCUGCAGAGAAGCCGCUUCUACAUCAGGACAUCAGAAGCUGGAACAGGAUGGCCGGCGAGGGGCCUCUUGUUGGGGUCACAGAGAUGGGUCGCAGAGAUGGCCCGUGUGGAAGGUUGGAUUCUCACCCCACCUCUGCCCCUAGAUGUCCUGGUGACCCUCCCCUCUGUAGUCUUGGUUUUUUGCAAAAC